Molecule: ribosomal RNA, 612 nt
Filed under: Semibalanus balanoides (northern acorn barnacle)
Lineage: Eukaryota; Metazoa; Arthropoda; Thecostraca; Balanomorpha; Balanidae
Description: SSU rRNA
Rfam family: Eukaryotic small subunit ribosomal RNA
Source: RNAcentral
GAUAUGCUUGUCUUAAAGAUUAAGCCAUGCAUGUAUCAGUACAAGCCAAACUAAGGUGAAACCGCGAAUGGCUCAUUAAAUCAGUUAUUAUUUACUGGCCGAGACAGUGAUACAUGGAUAACUGUGGUAAUUCUAGAGCUAAUACAUGCAACCGAGCCCCAGUCCUGGCUCUCGGGCCAGGCGGGGCGCUUUUAUUGGCUGAAAACCGAUGAUCGCCCUCGUGGCGGUCGUUAUUCGAUGAAUCACAAUAACAUUGUGUGGAUCGUAUGGUCUUGUACCGACGACGCGCCUUUCAAAUAUCUGCCUUAUCAGCUCUCGACGGUUUGCUAGUGGCUGACCGUGGCUCUGACGGGUAACGGGGAAUCUGGGUUCGGUUCCGGAGAGGGAGCCUGAGAGAUGGCUACCACAUCUAAGGAAGGCAGCAGGCGCGUAACUUACCCACUCCCAGUUCAGGGAGGUAGUGACAAUAAAUACCUUACAGAGGUCUCGUUAACCGAGAUCUCUCAAACGGAAUGAGUACAACGUGAAUCCUUUAACGAGGAUCGACUGGAGGGCAAGCCUGGUGCCAGCAGCCGCGGUAAUUCCAGCUCCAGUAGCGUAUAUUAAAGCUGU